Phasianus colchicus (ring-necked pheasant) is the source of this 2131-nucleotide non-coding RNA. The record is from RefSeq and is a predicted model, not a curated record. Lineage: Eukaryota; Metazoa; Chordata; Aves; Galliformes; Phasianidae.
CUGAACAACCUGAUGCCUGGCUCCGAUUUCUAGGAGGGAGAGGAGGUUCUUUUCAUCUCUGUAUCCCCGGCGUGAGAUGAAGAAACAACGGUUCAAACGUUGGUCCGACCAACAUUUGUUACAGAUGUUGUUUUUUACAUAACGUUGUUUGUUACAGAUGUUAAUUGGGGAGAUGGGGAAGGGGAGGGCGGGCGCUGUUAUGAAUUGGGGUGAUGGGGAAGGGAAGGAGGGCGAUAGAAAGAAGAAGCAAGGAGUUUUGAUAGGAAGCAGGAGGGACACAGUCAGCACCGUGGAUCCAGCGAGGUUCGUAGUUCAGCCAUUGAUCUUCAGUAGCGGUGGGUCAUUGCUCUGUUGUUGUUCUGUUGACAACGACGAUGGCGACGACGAUGACCGUGGUGAUGAUGGCUCCUUUUCGAUGCUCUCCAAGCGGUCGAGUCAGCUCUCCUUGCAGUGGCAGCUUCUGGGGCUCUGGGAUCUCAGCAGAAAUUCCUUUCUUCCCACCUUCCGGGCCGUGCCAGCAGAUCAGAGGGAGCAGGGAUGCCCACCCGCAUCCUGUUUUUCAUGAGAUACGAUGGUACCAUUGCCCAGUUUUCCCAUACCAGGCUGGAGCUCUUUAGUCACAGGUCAGGUCUUCCAUAAGCACUCCUGAGUGCUCCCUUCCAGAGGCAAGCAGCUCUGCAGGAAGGAGCUUUCAAAUAUUCCCAGAGGGAUGGCAGUCAUCACACGGUAGCACCCAUCACCUGCCUCCUCAACAAAUCAAUCCGGCUCUUAUCACAAGGAAUACCUCAGGAAGCAAGCUUUGAGCCAAAAAGAACCAAACAAGGAUUCUCACACCUGAUCUAGUCGUGCCCAUCCUCAUCCACUGCAGGGAAGUCAGGCUAGAAGGUCUUGAAGGGUCCCUUCCAACUCAAACGAUUGGGGAAUCCUCCCUUGGAGACGGAACCCAUCCCCAGCACCUGACGUUGGCUCGGAGGAGGACUUGGGGGUCUUGGGGUGACCCCACGGCUCCCCACACCCCCAGCCCAUAUUCCCCACAUCCCCCCAGGUUCCAUACCGCCUGCGCCAGCUGACAGCCCUGCAGCAACGCUCGCUUUACGUCGGACCCCAAACGGUGACCGCGACCCCGCAGCUCCCAGGGCUUUUCCAGGGGAUGGAGAUGAAACCCCACCAAACCAAGGGCGGUCACCGCGUCACCCAAUUCCUCACCUACAACUGCCUGGCGACGGACGCAGACCUUUACAGCGAGUGUCUCCGGAGCUUCUGGACGUGUCCCCACUGCGGGCUCCACGCACCCUUCACCCCCAUGGAGCGAGUCUGCCACGAGAACGCCUGCCGGCCGCCCGACGCCCCCCCAGAAGAGGAACCCCAGAGCUGCCCCCAGAGCUCAGCCCUGCAGCGCCCGUACCGCUGCGAUGUGUGCCAGCAGGAUUUCUCCUUCACCCCCACCCAGAUCCUCCGGCACCGACGGCAGCACCGCUGAUGGGAGAAACCCCAAAUGGAUUUGGGACAUCCCCUCUGAUAGACGAAGGCUGGAUCGCGUUCGUUAUCGCCGCCUUCGUUAUCAGCCCCCGCCACGGGUCAUUAGCGUGGCAUGGGGGGGGCUGUGCUGCUAAUUAAACUCAUUUAAUGCUGCUAAUUUGUAGCUGUGCAGCCGGAAGAAUCCUCAUCACUGAACGACGUCGUGACGAUUUUGGGUAACGAUGCGCUGCGAGAACAGAACGCAUUGGGGUUUUAAUUAGGGUUGUUUUGGCUUAAUUAUGCAAAGUUAAGCUUCGCUGGCUGCAGAAUGGGGGGAAAAAUGGGGAGUUUGGGGUUUUUUUUUCCUUUAAAAAUGGAUUUUUUUUCCCCCCUUUUUGGCUUCUCUUCUGUUCUCCUUGUUGGGAUGAAUAUAUCUGCGAUUAAUUAGCAGAUAAAUUAGCAGAAGUGGGUCACUGCCACCCGGCCCCCAGAAAUUAAUUAAGCCGGAGGUUUUAAGCAGCUUAAUAGUUAAUUUUUGGGGAGGGAAAUGCAAAUUUUUGGCUCCUCCUCCAUCACUGCUCCCUUUCCACCAGCGUUUGUGGCUUUUUUUGACGUCGCCAACCCAAACUUUGCUGGAUUUCUGUGAUUUGUCCUCAUUUUUUUCCAGUCAUAG